RNAcentral lists this ribosomal RNA (253 nucleotides) under uncultured bacterium. Its description in RNAcentral is "partial 16S ribosomal RNA". It matches the Rfam family "Bacterial small subunit ribosomal RNA", at positions 524 to 776 of the family's 1533-position model. The record is from RNAcentral.
GACAGAGGUCCCGAGCGUUAGGCGGAAUCACUGGGCUUAAAGCGUGUGUAGGCGGAUCGUUAAGUGCCUUGUGAAAUCCCAUGGCUUAACCAUGGAACUGCUUGGCAUACUGGCGAUCUUGAGCCACUUAGGGGCAACCGGAACAAAUGGUGGAGCGGCGAAAUGCGUAGAUAUCAUUUGGAACGCCAAUGGUGAAAACAGGUUGCUGGGAGUGUGCUGACGCUGAGACACGAAAGCCAGGGGAGCGAACGGG